Molecule: ribosomal RNA, 255 nt
Filed under: uncultured bacterium
Lineage: Bacteria
Description: partial 16S ribosomal RNA
Rfam family: Bacterial small subunit ribosomal RNA
Source: RNAcentral
UACGGGGGGAGCAAGCGUUGUUCGGAUUUACUGGGCGUAAAGGGCGCGUAGGCGGCCACCGCAAGUCGACUGUGAAAUCUCCGGGCUUAACCCGGAAAGGUCAGCCGAUACUGCGGGGCUAGAGUGCAGAAGGGGCAACUGGAAUUCUCGGUGUAGCGGUGAAAUGCGUAGAUAUCGAGAGGAACACCUGCGGCGAAGGCGGGUUGCUGGGCUGACACUGACGCUGAGGCGCGAAAGCUAGGGGAGCGAACGGGG